Myotis brandtii (Brandt's bat) is the source of this 1795-nucleotide long non-coding RNA. RefSeq lists it as uncharacterized. The record is from RefSeq and is a predicted model, not a curated record. The transcript is spliced from 3 exons. NCBI's taxonomy places the organism in Eukaryota, Metazoa, Chordata, Mammalia, Chiroptera, Vespertilionidae.
AGGAAUGUGGUUCGGGGGCGGGGGCAGGGGAAGCAUCUCCAGCACGGCUUUCCCGUCCGGGUGCUGGGUGGGUGUAAACGGGGCGAGGCCCGCGGUGCCCGGAGAGGGGGUCGGUGGCCGUUUCUAUGGGGAUCCUGUCCUCCCCUUGGUUCCUACUCCUGCUCUAGCCGCCAGCCCAUUGGUGCCUGGGUGCCGCGGUGGGUUAGAGUCUGGAGGCCGAGCACAGUGAGAGCACAGGGCUGCCGAGGAGGCUGGCGCACUGCGGGGCCACAGGCCCAGGGCAGCCGGGCUGUCCCUCCAGAGGCCUUUUCCUCGCAUUCUGUGGUCUCGCUCCAGAGCCAAGCUGCUGCCUGGGCAGGUGCGCCCAGGACCAAGCCUCAGUUACAGCCGGUGACCCGGGAACCUGCACCGAAGGGUGGGAACCACCCGUUUUCCUCCAAUGCUGCUUGAAAUGACUCCACAUCUUACCAGGGUGACCUUGAGUGCUCACCGAUCACCAGAUUUUCGAGUGCAGCGAACUGCAGUUCUCCAUGAAAGAACCCCCUCUGCGUUGACACCACUUGCACACCUGCAGGAUCUACACUGUCCGGUGGAGUGGGGUCCGGUCGGGACUGCAGAUGUGGGGCCCCGCUGCAGGCGCAGGACUGACGCCGUCCGGUGUGACUCCCCCGGUCAGAGAGGAGUCACCGGAGCGCCGCACUGGCUUUCCCGGGCGCAGUGCCGGGACCUGUGCUUGCUUCCCUUGCAGGCGGGCAUCUGGACAUAGGUGAGUGGGGAAUCUGCAGCCUGGCUUUCAUGUUUCCAGCUUUGUCUGCACACGUGCAAUCGUUACAUGGUUUAAAUGGACAAAUUUUCAAACUUGUGAACGUUGGAACCAUUUAGGACCGUGGAAAAGGCUGGCUUUUCUGCCUCAUGCCUGCCCAGCGAGGGACGGUUGAACACUGUGGUGCUAUGUGUGCCUGGGAAGUAUCUGCUGGACUUUGUUUCUAAUGUGCACAGCUCCUCCGAGGUGCUUCCUGAAGCUAAAUCCUCAAUUAAAACUCCGCGAUCGUGCGGAAUCACCGCCAGGUGUGUGUGUCGCACACAAGGGGGAAGGUUGAGUUUCAGAGCUUGGCGUUGAUUUGUUUGUUCGGUUGAGUCAGUGAAAUGAAUUCUCAGUUCUCCAUUUCGUACACUGUUUACACAAAGUGAAUGAAGUUAUACAGGAAACGGCGGUCCAUGCAUGGUCUGAGUGGGGAGCAUGUUACAGGCAGGCGUUGGGGUGAGCGCCGGGCAGACCUGAGUGUGAGAGCCACCAGGACGCAACAGGCACCGGAACAUGCUUCCUGCGGGACUGAGCCACACUCCGCCUGCUGCCCUCGACAGCAGCUGCUUGACGUAACCAGCCGAGUGUCUCCUCAGCUUGGGCUGGUGGACGCUGGUGGGUUCGAGUUCACAUGUGCUGCGCUCCAGCUGUGUUGCCAGGGCUGUGGAGUCACCUGCAUGCACUGGCUGCGCAGGUCUUCAGGGAGGCGCCUUCGACUUGCAGGUGGAGGUCUCGCUUUCCUCGUGGGCGCCAACGUGGAUUGCUCUCCCGGAGGCCCUGGACUGAGCGGGGGUUCCGUCUCUCCUCCGGAAAUGAGGAGUGGGGGAGCCACGUGGUGUCGCUUCAGCUCACUGACGUCAGGUCAAGGUGGCCCCUGAGGCUCCUGCUUUUCCUUUGGGCCCCGGGAGAAGACAGAGGAAGCCCACAGACACGCCGCUUUGCGUGGGCUCCCUUUUCAAGCUUCCGCGGCCGCCCAGCAGCCUUAGCUUC